GCGGGUGUAGCUCAGGGGUAGAGCGUUACCUUGCCAAGGUAAAUGUCGUGAGUUCGAAUCUCAUCACCCGCUCCAUUUCGAAACCUCCCCAAAAAGCUGACUGAAAUGACCGCCUUGGCGGGCGUUCGCCGUGGCUUACCUGCG
RNAcentral lists this transfer RNA (144 nucleotides) under Roseovarius nubinhibens ISM. Its description in RNAcentral is "tRNA-Gly". The stretch from base 1 to 72 matches the Rfam family "tRNA". Rfam says of the family: Transfer RNA (tRNA) molecules are approximately 80 nucleotides in length. Their secondary structure includes four short double-helical elements and three loops (D, anti-codon, and T loops). Further hydrogen bonds mediate the characteristic L-shaped molecular structure. tRNAs have two regions of fundamental functional importance: the anti-codon, which is responsible for specific mRNA codon recognition, and the 3' end, to which the tRNAs corresponding amino acid is attached (by aminoacyl-tRNA synthetases). tRNAs cope with the degeneracy of the genetic code in two manners: having more than one tRNA (with a specific anti-codon) for a particular amino acid; and 'wobble' base-pairing, i.e. permitting non-standard base-pairing at the 3rd anti-codon position. The record is from RNAcentral. Lineage: Bacteria; Pseudomonadati; Pseudomonadota; Alphaproteobacteria; Rhodobacterales; Roseobacteraceae.